This is a long non-coding RNA of Callithrix jacchus (white-tufted-ear marmoset), 3429 nucleotides long. NCBI's taxonomy places the organism in Eukaryota, Metazoa, Chordata, Mammalia, Primates, Cebidae. The record is from Ensembl.
UUAACUCUCAUAGUGCUAUAGUAUAUGAACUAUGAUUAUUUCCAUUAUAUAGAUAAGAACAUAUAGGUAUAAAAAGUUACUUAAAUGUAGAUAUAAAAUUUUCUUAAAUUGUCUAGAAAUUGGAGGAAAUAAGACUGGAAUCCAGAUGUUUUGCCUACAAAGUUUAUCUUUUUGAAUAAUAUUGGUGCGUUUUUGUUGACUUGCAGGCAAUGUGAAGGAAACUGUUCUGUAUGAGUUUGAGUCCCUAUAACAAAAAUUUUAGAUAUUGGAUUCUUAUUCUAUUAGAUUUCUGUUAUUUCAAUCUUUACUACUUUAGGCACCUAAAUGCCAUGCCAUUUUUGAGCCUGUGAUGCAUACUACAGUGUCUGACAGAGAACUGCAACUAUGAACUGACUUAAGCCAGGUAAGCCAUGCACAAGUAAUAGGUUCCUUUUGGUAGGUAACCAUGGCCCUCUCCUUAAAAAAGUCUUUGAGAUAGGUGGAAAUUAGCUACCCCAUCCCUUACCUCCAGGUUAUAAUGACAUUUAUUUAAGAAUAAAUUCUGCCACACAAACAUUUAUUAAACAAACAUUUCUUAGCAAGGAGGUCAGAAAAGGUUAUACAAUUUGUUCUGUAAAAUCAGUGCAAUCCCAGCAAUUUUUCCCUUAGAGACUUCAACCAUUACUCUGCAUGAAAGGUUCACCAAGGAAGUAGCAGCAACAUUCCAGGACAGGAUCUCGUUACUUUAUUAUCAGUCAAACAACCAGAAGUCUUUCUAAUCCAUGGGUGGACCAAGAUUCCUCUAAGGCUUUAAGAGCAAACUGUUUUCAUGGACGCAACUAAUUAUGCUUAGAAGCCUAAUAAACUAGGUAUCAGAUGUUGAGCAAAUUCCAAAAUAUUUAAUGAAUAUAGUAGCCCCUAAGCAGUGAGGCUUUGUGGAAAAGUGGCCAGUUAGAACAUACAUUCUGUGCAUUAUUAGGGUAACCUGCUGCCUCCAUAGGUAAAUGUUGCAUAAAAUUGCACGUUCAUAUAUUUACAUGGAAUUUUCUGAAGUGUUUUGAUGCAAAAGUGGUUCAAAACAAGAACCAUGACAAUUUCUCCACAGUAAAUCACACAUUUACCCAGCCUACUAAUGAUUUAACACCUACACCAUGCUAAACACCCACCAGGAUCACAAAGCUAAAUAAGAUAUUGUUCUUACCUUCAAGAAGUUUACAAUCUAGUAAGAGAAACACAAGCAGAUUUGUGAUUACAGUAGAAAGUGAUGGAUGCUAGAGUAAAGGCACACCCAGGGUGCCAAUGGGAUCCCAAUAUAUCAGAUUCAAGAGUUUGUCUAAUUAGUCUUUUCAGAAGACAUUAUUCUUAAAGUAGUAUUUGAAGAUUGGUAUGAAUUAAUUUAAUGCACUAUGUGCAGAAAAUAAUUUUAGAUAACAGUAGCAGAACAGAUAUGAAAGCGCAGAGGUUGGAAACCUCACCGUCUAUUUUAAAAGCUGUUACGUAGUUCAGAAUGACUGGAAGAAUGUGGAGAGUGAGCUAAGUAUGGGGAGAUGAGCUUAAGAAGACCAGAUCAUUUAGGUUUUACGUGUUAAGGUCAGAGCUUGAACUUUUCUGAGAGAUAGGAGGUAUCAGGGAAGAAUUUUAUUCAGGAAGUAAUGUAUAUUUUCAAAGGUCACUCCAACGUCAAUGAGUUGAAACAGGAUUGAGAAGGAGGCAGAAUGGAUGAGGGGAAAUACACGAGAAGUGGUAAGAGUUUGAACUAAAGCAUAAGCAUUGAAAACAGUGAAUGAGACACAUUUAAAGAACCAAUGGAUAAAUUCAAGAACUAAUAGCACCUGAGACUGAGUGGAUACUAGUGUGAGAAAAAUCUAGAAUAUCUCAGAGCAUUGGCCUACUGCAAGGGUAGUGCCACUUACCAUGUACAAAUGACUGAUUGACAGAAUAAAUAAUGAUUAAGUACCCAGUGGCUUCAAUAUGAAGCAUUGAUUCUUUUUAUAUUAAGUACAUCCAAUAAAUCAGUUUUCCUCAGAAGUUUAUAGAACUUUAAAAUAAAAAUGGAAGGAUGAUAUGACAAGAGCUUCUUCUCUUGAUUAGAAACUAAUAUAUCUUUGUCUACCCUGCAGAUUCUCUUUCCUCUUCUCUUGCUUGGCAUGUUUUAUAUAUGCUCAUUACCUUCUAUUUCUUUUCUUUUUUUUUUUAAGCACUUACUUUCAUGUUGUUUCUUUUAUGAUGUUUGUCCUUGCUGGUCAACCUAGUAGUGACUGUAGUUUAUCAGGCUACAUGUUUUAUAUCUGCAAGCACUACAAACUAUAAUCUCAUAAAAGCACAUUGAAUAAUCUGCAGUAAACCUGGCCUAAUGUACACAAUCCUCUCCUGAAAUAAUUGGUAACAACUUAAACUGGAAGUCCAAGUAAUACGUAAAAUAAGAUGUGAUCUAUAGCUUUAUCAAAAUUAUGAAUUAUUCUAAGUGACGGUCUCUAUGCAGAGUCACUGGUUCAUUAGGACAUACCUUUAUAUACUAUAAAAUCUAAAACAGGAACAGAGAUUUUUAAUUAUACUAUAAUAGCUCCAUCAUGCAAAUAUGUAUAUCCUUUCCAUUAAAACUUAGCUUAAAAGUCCUGUAUAAUAUUCCUUGUCUUUUUUAAUAAAAUGUGAGUUUUUCCUUAACAUUAAACUUUUAUUUUCAAAACAGAAAACUCAAUUCCAUAAACAAUAUGGUCAACUGAGAGAGCAAUUAUAUAGCAUACAAGCAAGUAACUUUCAAAGAUAUAGAGAUCUACAAAAUAUACAUAACUAUAAAAUUCAUGUAACAGCAUUACAAUGUAUAAUUUAAUAUUUUAAAGUUUUCAAAAGGUCUUUUGCAAUCACAAUGACUAUUAAGCAUAGGAUUUCAAAAGUCAAUUAUUAUGUCUUGGAUGUUUGAAAUGUCACUUCUCUUAAAUGCUCUUUUAUUAAGUUUAAUACUACAUAACAGAUUUUAGAAUACCAAAAUCAAAGAAGAAUGCAGGCAGUUAGGCAUAUCCAAAAGUAGACUUACUGUGUCACGAAUUCUAACAAAAUACACCAAAAAAUAUCUCAUAAGUAGAGCUAUUUCCUACAAAUAACCACAUGUGAAUAUUUAUAUCAGGAAAAUUAAAAUUAAGAGUAUACUGUCACACUAACAUGUUAAAUCCCAAAAAAAGCUUCCCUUUUUUUUACAGUAUGACAGACUACACAUUUUCUGAUCAUAGUAACAGAAAAAUAUGACAUGCUAACAUUAAGAAUAGGUUUCUUAAGAACUAAAUAAAAAUUAUCUAUGAAAAACACUACAUGCAUAUCGAGCACCCCAACUAACAGUCAUUUUUAAGAAGAACAAUUUUUAGGAUUUAAGAUAUCUAUAGUUGAAUGAAUUUUUCAGAAAAAAGUGACAAAAAUAGUGUUAUAGACUUAUUUCUGUCAAAAUGUCUUCUAGCA